This is an RNA transcript of Otolemur garnettii (small-eared galago), 1184 nucleotides long. It is a transcript of the gene named 60S ribosomal protein L3 pseudogene, with no coding region annotated. NCBI's taxonomy places the organism in Eukaryota, Metazoa, Chordata, Mammalia, Primates, Galagidae. The transcript has a single exon. The record is from RefSeq and is a predicted model, not a curated record.
AUGUCUCACAGGAAGUUCUCAGCUCCCAAACAUGGAUCUCUGGGCUUCUUGCCUUGAAAGUGCAGCAGCAGGCAUCAUGGGAAGGUGAAGAGCUUCCCCAAGGAUGAUCCAUCUAAGCCUGUCCACCUCACACCCUUCCUAGGAUACAAGGCUGGCAUGACCCACAUGGUGUGGGAAGUCAAUAGGCCAGGAUCCAAGGUGAACAAGAAAAAGUUGUAGAGGCUGUGACCAUUGUGGAGACACCACCCAUGGUGGUUGUAGGCAUUGUGGGCUAUGUGGAAACUCCUCGAGGCCUCCAGACUUUCAAGACCAUCUUUACUGAGCAUAUCAGUGAUGAGUGCAAAAGGUGCUUCUAUAAGAACUGGCAUAAAUCUAAGAAGAAGGCCUUCACCAAAUACUGCAAGAAAUGGCAGGAUGAUGAUGGCAAGAAACAGCUGGAGAAGUAUUUCAGCAGCAUGAAGAAGUACUGCCAAGUCAUCCAUGGCCGAAAAGCUAGACUGGGCCUGGGAGAGGCUGGAGCAGCAGGUCCCUGUGAACCAAGUGUUUGGGCAGGAUGAGAUGAUUGAUAUCAUCGGGGUGACCAAGGGCAAAGGCUACAAAGAGGUGACCAGUCAUUGGCAUACCAAGAAGCUGCCAUGCAAGACCCACUGAGGACUGUGUAAGGUUGCCUGUAUCAGGGCAUGGCAUCCUGCCCGUGUGGCUUUCUCCAUGGCACAGGCUGGGCAGAAAGGCUACCAUCACCACACGGAAAUCAAUAAAAAAAUUUAUAAGAUUGGCCAAGGCUACCUUAUCAAGGAUGGCAAACUGAACAAGAACAAUGCCUCUACUGAUUAUAACCUGUCUGACAAGAGCAUUAAUCCUCUCGGUGGUUUUGUCCACUAUGGUGAAGUGACCAAUGAUUUUGUCAUGCUGAAAAGACUGUGUGGUGGGAACCAAGAAGUGAGUGCUCACUCUCUGCAAGUCCUUGUUGGUACAGACAAAACAGCAGGCUCUGGAGAAGAUUGACCUUAAGUUCAUUGACACCACCUCCAAGUUUGGCCAUGGCCCCUUCCAGACUAUGGAGGAGAAGAAAGCAUUCAUGGGACCACUUAAGAAAGACCAAAUUGCUAAGGAAGAAGGAGCUUAAUAUCAGGAACAGAUUGUACAGCUGGUGGGAUCUCAAUAAAAGUUGUUUUCUAAUGACA